Molecule: long non-coding RNA, 1785 nt
Organism: Zonotrichia leucophrys gambelii
Lineage: Eukaryota; Metazoa; Chordata; Aves; Passeriformes; Passerellidae
Exons: 5
Source: RefSeq, a predicted model, not a curated record
UCGCCCUGGGAUCCCCUAAACCUCUUCUCUCCCGGGCACCGAGAGGCUGAGACGGGCUCCAGAUGGGUGUUUUGGGGGAGCAGGGGGAGGCCAAACAUCGCCACGGGGCAGCGGGUGAUGAUGCAGAGAAGCAGCCCCUGCUUUCCAGCAUCCCGCGGUUCUGCUUUCCCCUCCCAGCUGGAGAAGGAGGUUUUUAACGGGGUGCGGGUUUAAACGGUGUUGCACCCCCUCCCUCCACAGGUAGAGAUGUCUCAGCUGCCCCCCCGGAGCCAAGAAACGGGAGAAACGGGCAAUUUUUAUAGGUGACGUACGGGCUUACGUGGGAAUCCGUGCCCAGCACUGCUCUUUCAGCUUCUUUUUCUCCUGAAAUAACCCUUCCGUGAAGCUCGUACCCCCCUAUUCCAGCUCGCAAGCCCUUUUUCAGGCUGGGGAGGAGUCGGGGGAGAGGGAAGGAAAAGAGAAAAGCAAAGCACCCCAACAUCCCGCUCUUCCCCUGCUCGGGAAGCGAGCCCCGGAGCUCCCAAAGUGAGCGCUGAAGAGGGCGACAGGAGACAGGCGGGAGCCGGCUCCGAGCUGGAGGGGUCGGGGGUGGGAUGACAGCAGAGGAGGACCCUCCUUUUCGGGAUUAAGGGAGAACCAGCGGAGGAGGGAAGCUGGCGGCACCGCGGGCAUCCGAGAAAACCUGUCUGGGGAUCCCUGUGUAUUCAUCGGGGCGGCGAGAGACUCCCCAGAGCCGCUCCGGGGCAUCGGUGGAGUGAAUCGGAGAUAAAAAUUAGGAGCCAGUUUAAACGCAGGAAGGAAGAGGAGAGGUCGGAAGCGGAGCAAAGCUCCUGGCCGCCCUGCCCCGGCCGUGCCCGCACCUUGGAGCGGACGGACGGAAGGACGGACGGACGGAUGGCCGGCAUCCCCGACGGAGGGAUGUUUCUGUCUUUGGUUAUCUAGCUGUAUGAGUGUUGUGGAGCCAUCAUAAAGCUAGAUAACCGAAAGUAGAAAUGACUUCCAGACCUGCUCGCCCAGGGGAAGCGGCCGCACCAGGACCGGCAGUGCAGAGACGGCCCGACUCGCCGCCCUGGGGGCUCCAGACAUGACUGAGAGUUCCUGGAGUGGGAUGCCUUGGGAAGGGCUGGGACGUCUCCACCUGAGCAAGGAGAGAUCCCAGUGAGUGGACAAGGAACUUUUGAAGCCCGUGAGUUCCUUCUUCUAGUUGACUGCCGCCUGCCUGGACGUGCCAUCUGACUUCUCAGAGUUUCUCCAGGAGAGCCCCAAUCUGCUUCUCCAUUGGCCCCAGAGAGGAAACAGCUUUGUUUCGUGAACACAGUGGAUUUCUGCAUCAGUUCGACACACAGCGGUGCAGCCAUGGGGAGGGAGCCAGGGCAGCACAGGGAGCCAAGGGAUCAUCCCACGUCACUCCUGUAUGUUGCCUUCAGUGCCCUCAAUACCCCAGAGCAGGACCAAAGUGCUUAGGCAGAGAGACCUGAGCCAGUCGCUGUCUCACCUGCUGAAAUACCAGGUGUGUGAAGUUUGGCUUUGCUCAUGGAGCAGAGCUCGGCCCUUGCUGCUCUUGAUCCCUGGGUCUGUGGAGCUGUGAGAGCGCAGCCUUCCCAAAGGCACUGUGCUUGGGGCCCAUGAGGACCAUGAGCUUUUCCAGGCCAUGCAGCCCUGCUGCUGUUGUACCACACCCUCUCUGUUCCUGUAAGAGAAAUGUACUGCCUGUAAUUCUCUCCCAUUCAAAUCCUCCCAACCCCAUGCACUGUUGAAAAUAAACUCUCUCUUUUGCAAAAGCCA